RNAcentral lists this ribosomal RNA (479 nucleotides) under uncultured bacterium. RNAcentral describes it as "bacterial SSU rRNA". It matches the Rfam family "Bacterial small subunit ribosomal RNA", at positions 330 to 801 of the family's 1533-position model. The record is from RNAcentral.
UGCGAACUCCUACGGGAGGCAGCAGUGGGGAAUAUUGCACAAUGGGGGAAACCCUGAUGCAGCCAUGCCGCGUGUGUGAAGAAGGCCUUCGGGUUGUAAAGCACUUUCAGCAAGGAGGAAAGGGUGGAAGCUAAUACCUUCCACCUGUGACGUUACUUGCAGAAGAAGCACCGGCUAACUCCGUGCCAGCAGCCGCGGUAAUACGGAGGGUGCAAGCGUUAAUCGGAAUUACUGGGCGUAAAGCGCACGCAGGCGGUUGGAUAAGUCAGAUGUGAAAGCCCCGGGCUCAACCUGGGAACUGCAUUUGAAACUGUCCGGCUAGGGUCUUGUAGAGGGGGGUAGAAUUCCAGGUGUAGCGGUGAAAUGCGUAGAGAUCUGGAGGAAUACCGGUGGCGAAGGCGGCCCCCUGGACAAAGACUGACGCUCAGGUGCGAAAGCGUGGGGAGCAAACAGGAUUAGAUACCCGAGUAGUCCAGAUG